AUAAGGAUGAAAUUCUAAUAAGACGCCUUGAUGCCGUCGAGCAUGACACGGAAAUUUCCGACGCAUACUUGGAUUUUGCGGAUGAACUCGCACGAACAGAGAGGGCGAUGGGACUGCUUUUGUGUGGCAUGGCGUGGCUUUCAUGCAGAACCAGUCGGACCUGACAACCUCCACGUUGCGUGUCGGCUGUCUUCUGCCAAAGCGCCAACCAUGGACAGAAAUUGGGAGGGCCACUCCAGCCGAAGGGCCCCGCACAAUUACACACUGAUACGGAUAUGGCAGACAGAGAGAGAGGUGUGGCACGUGAUAGUAACAUGCAAAUCGAACAAGUCGUGCUUGACACCCGACUCGAUUGAUCUUGUCCUGCCGUCAGAGUUGAUGCCCAUCAUUACGCCUCAAUCUGUCAACCUGCUCGUGAUGAUCUAUCUCGUCAUCCGAAGAGUGAACGUAUCAAUUCUUAGAAUAAUUUGAUUCUUUUAUUACUCUCUCCGGUGUUAUUAGCACCAAGCAAAUCACCUCGAUUCGUGGGAACGGCUUCGCCGUCUCCCGCCAAGAAGCUUUCCCUCGUCUGCCCCCGUAUGCGUGCACACGGUGAUUCGCCGUCGGCAAGUCCUAUCGCGAAUCUCCAGGACAGCGGUCGAUCACAAGCACGGAGUCAAAGCGGGAUGGUCAUAGACCACGCCGGAAUUUGAAUGCACCACGUAGGGCAGGAAGCAGGCAGGUGAGACUGGUAGAUCCGUGGAAUGAUGAUGGGAAGCUGUGUUGAAGAGAGAUGCUACUUACCGUGACCCAGUGAGGGAGUCCUGGUUGUGGCAAUGGCAGGAGGUGGAAGGACCAGAGAUUAAGUCAUGAAAUGCCCGCCCUUUCUGGUGCUGCUGGCAGUGUCCUUCUCUGUCUC
Molecule: long non-coding RNA, 898 nt
Filed under: Musa acuminata (dwarf banana)
Lineage: Eukaryota; Viridiplantae; Streptophyta; Magnoliopsida; Zingiberales; Musaceae
Description: long non-coding RNA (MACU_LNC002542)
Source: RNAcentral